GACGAACGCUGGCGGCGUGCCUAAUACAUGCAAGUUGAGCGCUGAAGGUUGGUACUUGUACCAACUGGAUGAGCAGCGAACGGGUGAGUAACGCGUGGGGAAUCUGCCUUUGAGCGGGGGACAACAUUUGGAAACGAAUGCUAAUACCGCAUAAAAACUUUAAACACAAGUUUUAAGUUUGAAAGAUGCAAUUGCAUCACUCAAAGAUGAUCCCGCGUUGUAUUAGCUAGUUGGUGAGGUAAAGGCUCACCAAGGCGAUGAUACAUAGCCGACCUGAGAGGGUGAUCGGCCACAUUGGGACUGAGACACGGCCCAAACUCCUACGGGAGGCAGCAGUAGGGAAUCUUCGGCAAUGGACGAAAGUCUGACCGAGCAACGCCGCGUGAGUGAAAGAAAGGUUUUCGGAUCGUAAAAACUCUGUU
This 422-nucleotide ribosomal RNA is filed under the name Lactococcus lactis. RNAcentral's name for it is "bacterial SSU rRNA". It matches the Rfam family "Bacterial small subunit ribosomal RNA", at positions 28 to 437 of the family's 1533-position model. Lineage: Bacteria; Bacillati; Bacillota; Bacilli; Lactobacillales; Streptococcaceae. The record is from RNAcentral.